GAUGAAGAACGUAGCGAAAUGCGAUAAGUAGUGUGAAUUGCAGAAUUCAGUGAAUCAUCGAAUCUUUGAACGCACAUUGCGCCCCUUGGUAUCCCGAGGGGCAUGCCUGUUCGAGCGUCAUUUCACCACUCAAGCCUGGCUUGGUGUUGGGCGACGUCCUCUUUGGGGACGCGCCUCGAAACGCUCGGCGGCGUGGCACCGGCUUUAAGCGUAGCAGAAUCUUUCGCUUUGGAAGUCGGGGCCCCGUCUGCCGGAAGACCUGCUCGCAAGGUUGACCUCGGAUCAGGCAGGGGUACCCGCUGAACUUAAGCAUAUCAAUAAGCGGAGGA
This 329-nucleotide unclassified non-coding RNA is filed under the name soil metagenome. Its description in RNAcentral is "partial contains 5.8S ribosomal RNA, internal transcribed spacer 2, and large subunit ribosomal RNA". The stretch from base 1 to 120 matches the Rfam family "5.8S ribosomal RNA", at positions 35 to 154 of the family's 154-position model. The record is from RNAcentral.